RNAcentral lists this ribosomal RNA (252 nucleotides) under uncultured bacterium. RNAcentral describes it as "partial 16S ribosomal RNA". It matches the Rfam family "Bacterial small subunit ribosomal RNA", at positions 524 to 776 of the family's 1533-position model. The record is from RNAcentral.
UACGUAGGGGGCAAGCGUUGUCCGGAAUUAUUGGGCGUAAAGCGCGCGCAGGCGGCUCUUUAAGUCUGGUGUUUAAUCCCGAGGCUCAACUUCGGGUCGCACUGGAAACUGGGGAGCUUGAGUGCAGAAGAGGAGAGUGGAAUUCCACGUGUAGCGGUGAAAUGCGUAGAGAUGUGGAGGAACACCAGUGGCGAAGGCGACUCUCUGGGCUGUAACUGACGCUGAGGCGCGAAAGCGUGGGGAGCAAACAGG